RNAcentral lists this unclassified non-coding RNA (261 nucleotides) under fungal sp. RNAcentral's name for it is "partial internal transcribed spacer region". The stretch from base 1 to 46 matches the Rfam family "Eukaryotic small subunit ribosomal RNA", at positions 1786 to 1831 of the family's 1831-position model. RNAcentral also lists the same sequence under 2 other names. The record is from RNAcentral. Lineage: Eukaryota; Fungi.
AAGUCGUAACAAGGUUUCCGUAGGUGAACCUGCGGAAGGAUCAUUAACAAAUCAUUUGUAGACUCUGGACGUUAAACUCCAGACGACACAUAAACCCGAACCUGUGCAGCAAUGCCAGGCAAGGUGUACGGUUUCGGCCGUACGGGAAAAGGUCUUGCUCCUCGGAGUGGGAUUGGACCCCAAAUAGACGCUUGUAUGUUUGACAGAGUUUAGUUGACACUUUAAAAAUGACAACUUUUAACAAUGGAUCUCUUGGCUCUU